GGCUUUAGACCACAAAACCUGGGGCUGACUCCCAGCCCAUCCAUGGGUACGUGGCACCACAGUCCUGUGAGGUAGCAGAGUGCCACCGUUUUGUAGUUGGCAGACACUGGAGUUCAAGAAAGUGGAGCCGUUUUCCCAGGGUUACGAGGCCAACCUGACUCCUGGGUUCCUCGGUCAGCCGUGUGUCCUGCUGUGUUCUGUCCAGGACCAGAGCCUGGCCCUGGGGCUUGCCAUUCAGCCUCAUCCCUCCCAGAAGGGCUGGCACUUCCCCAGGACACAGGAGCCAUCAUGCACAGGGGACAGCCCUGAGCCAGCUCAGAGGAUCUUAUAAAAAUCAACAGAUCAACUCCUUAAAAAAUAGUCUCUGGUGUCUACCGACUGCUAGGCGCUGUCGCAGACUCUACGUGUAGAAAUUCACUUAAUUCUUAGAACAAGCCCACGUGGACACGACUGUUUCACAGACGAGGAAGCUCGGGCACAGAGAGUUGAAGUAACCUGCCCGAGGUUGCACAGUGGGUGAGCGAUGCAGCCCGCCGGGCUCCAGGGAGGCACCACAGCGUCAGGGGAGAUGCAGCAGCUCCAAGGACCAGCCGAGGACAAGGACGGGGGCGGGGUCUGCUUCCUCUCCCCCAGCCCUGGAAUGUCCCAGGCGCUGGCCAUGCAGGCUCCACGUGGCCCCGCAUAAGAAGGCCUGAGCUCUGCUGCCCUCUGGGUCUAGUUCCUCUUGGUGUCUCACCGUUAGGUAGAGGCUCUGACCGAGGGCAGGAGCUCUGUGACAGUUUAUUGAAAGACAGUAUAAAGGUGACAAGUGUCACCCAGGAGACUGCCUGGCUUCCAGGCUGCCCAGGCCCCUCCUGGUCUUCAGGGGCCAAAAGCCCUGCUGGUGGUUUUGGGGUGCCCUGGAGUAUCCGGGCAUGGGUCUGGACCUGGGAGGUGAGGGCUGAGACCCCAAAUCCUGAGGUCACUCCCCACAAGCAACAGCCCUUGUCAUUGUGGCACAUGACACUUAGUUGGCAUGGAGAUUCCGAAUCUGCCAUCGUCCCAUCUCACAGAGGAAGCAAGGGAGCCCCGGAGAGCUGUCCCAGCUGUCAAUACCGUCCCUCGGCGCCUUGAAAGCUGGCCUCUCGGAGGUCCCUUCAGGGUCCCUCCCUCCUCGGGGUGCCCCUCGCGUGGUCCACGUGACUCCUCACUUCUGACACACAGUCUUUGUCACUAGUCUGCUGUCCCCUGAGCUGGACGGGGCAGUGAUGGUCUUGAGCACCUCUGUCUUCAGUGCCCGGCGCUGUGUGGUGCAGAGGAAGCCACAGCAGAGCUGCACCCUGUUUGCAUAUGGUGACGGGCGGGUGCUGGGUGCUGUCCCCGGCCCUGCCACCCUGACCAGCCGGGCUGCUUUCCUGUCUGCAGCAGAGAUGGUUCACCCCCCUUCCUGCCCUCAAGCUCCGCCUGCCACCAGCACACAAUGGUGGUGCACAAUGUCAGGGUGGCAGCUUCCGGAGCAGCCGCCCAGUGCUGAGCACACCUGCCCUGCGCCAACCACGGGCACCUGCACCCAGCCCAGGAGCCUCCCAGCUGCUGAAAGCCGCUCUGCCCGUGCGCGGGAAAGCCGCACGGCUCGGGGAUUUGGCGCCCCCUGGAGGAUGCUCAGCCGAGGUCUGGAGGGGGCUGGUGUCUGAAUUCCCAGCACCUUCCAGCUGUUGGUAAGAGGGUCCUGAGGCUCUGGCUGUGCACCAGUUCCCAGGCUUCCCAAUAGGACGAGCCUCAGGAGUCCUUGGCUCAACAGUGUGAUAAAAUCCCUUUGAUAAGCUGGGCACGGUGGCGCACACCUCUAAUCCCAGCGGCUUGGGAGGUUGAGGCAGGAGGUUUGCAAGUUCAAAGCCAGCCUUAGCAACUUAGCGAGGUCCUGAGCAACUUAGGAAGACCCUGUCUCAAAAUAAAAUAUAAAAAUGUUGGGCUGGGGAUGUGGCUCAAGCGAUAGCGCGCUCGCCUGGCAUGCAUGUGGCCUGGGUUCGAUCCUCAGCACCACAUACAAACAAUGAUGUUGUGUCCGCUGAAAACUAAAAAAUAGAUAUAAAAAAAAAUCUC
RNAcentral lists this long non-coding RNA (2082 nucleotides) under Marmota monax (woodchuck). Lineage: Eukaryota; Metazoa; Chordata; Mammalia; Rodentia; Sciuridae. The record is from RNAcentral.